AUUGAACGCUGGCGGCAGGCCUAACACAUGCAAGUCGAGCGGCAGCGACUUAACUGAACCUUCGGGGAAUGUUAAGGGCGGCGAGCGGCGGACGGGUGAGUAAUGCCUGGGAAUAUGCCCUGAUGUGGGGGAUAACUAUUGGAAACGAUAGCUAAUACCGCAUAAUCUCUUCGGAGCAAAGAGGGGGACCUUCGGGCCUCUCGCGUCAGGAUUAGCCCAGGUGGGAUUAGCUUGUUGGUGAGGUAAUGGCUCACCAAGGCAACGAUCCCUAGCUGGUCUGAGAGGAUGAUCAGCCACACUGGAACUGAGACACGGUCCAGACUCCUACGGGAGGCAGCAGUGGGGAAUAUUGCACAAUGGGGGAAACCCUGAUGCAGCCAUGCCGCGUGUGUGAAGAAGGCCUUCGGGUUGUAAAGCACUUUCAGUAGGGAGGAAGGUAGUGUAGUUAACACCUGCACUAUUUGACGUUACCUACAGAAGAAGCACCGGCUAACUCCGUGCCAGCAGCCGCGGUAAUACGGAGGGUGCGAGCGUUAAUCGGAAUUACUGGGCGUAAAGCGCAUGCAGGCGGCCUGUUAAGUCAGAUGUGAAAGCCCGGGGCUUAACCUCGGAAUUGCAUUUGAAACUGGCAGGCUAGAGUCUUGUAGAGGGGGGUAGAAUUUCAGGUGUAGCGGUGAAAUGCGUAGAGAUCUGAAGGAAUACCAGUGGCGAAGGCGGCCCCCUGGACAAAGACUGACGCUCAGAUGCGAAAGCGUGGGGAGCAAACAGG
Molecule: ribosomal RNA, 769 nt
Filed under: uncultured bacterium
Lineage: Bacteria
Description: bacterial SSU rRNA
Rfam family: Bacterial small subunit ribosomal RNA
Source: RNAcentral